RNAcentral lists this unclassified non-coding RNA (386 nucleotides) under Hevea brasiliensis (rubber tree). The record is from RNAcentral. Lineage: Eukaryota; Viridiplantae; Streptophyta; Magnoliopsida; Malpighiales; Euphorbiaceae.
UUUUUUUUUUUUUUUAAUUUGAUUUUGCAAGUGGGUUAGCCAUUUUUCCUUCUUCUUGACGAAAUAACGAACCCAAUCAACUCCAUUUUACUUAAUUUGUAUUUUUUAAUAUAUCAUAGUAGGACUGUCUCUGAAUUCUUACGCACAGAACCCUACUUCACGAAUUCAUGGUGGGGUACUGGCUUUUAUUCUUGGAGGCUUGGAGUGGUGGUGAAGCCGAUGGAGAAACCGAGGAUAGCAUUGAAGUUUAUUUGGAUGCAUAAGGCAAUUGAUGUUGCGUUAGACCAAGUGAUACAAGGGUUUGGCUAAUGCCUUCGAGUCCCUGCUACUUCUGGUCCAAGGAAGAUGCCUGGGCCUGGGACCAGCUUAAAAUGUUGCUUGAAAGC